Molecule: non-coding RNA, 106 nt
Organism: Alteromonas macleodii
Lineage: Bacteria; Pseudomonadati; Pseudomonadota; Gammaproteobacteria; Alteromonadales; Alteromonadaceae
Source: Rfam
AGGGUGCGACAGCGCUCUUGCGUCAUUGGUAAACACACCAAACCGCGGGCGUGGGUAACCAUAAAGUUAAUGGCUUCAGGCGUCACAUGCUCUGCCGCCAUUAUCA